Molecule: ribosomal RNA, 468 nt
Filed under: uncultured bacterium
Lineage: Bacteria
Description: partial 16S ribosomal RNA
Rfam family: Bacterial small subunit ribosomal RNA
Source: RNAcentral
GACGAACGCUGGCGGCGUGCUUAACACAUGCAAGUCGAACGGAAAGGCCCUGCUUUUGUGGGGUGCUCGAGUGGCGAACGGGUGAGUAACACGUGAGUAACCUGCCCUUGACUUUGGGAUAACUUCAGGAAACUGGGGCUAAUACCGGAUAGGAGCUCCUGCUGCAUGGUGGGGGUUGGAAAGUUUCGACGGUUGGGGUUGGACUCGCGGCUUAUCAGCUUGUUGGUGGGGUAGUGGCUUACCAAGGCUUUGACGGGUAGCCGGCCUGAGAGGGUGACCGGCCACAUUGGGACUGAGAUACGGCCCAGACUCCUACGGGAGGCAGCAGUGGGGAAUAUUGCACAAUGGGCGGAAGCCUGAUGCAGCAACGCCGCGUGCGGGAUGACGGCCUUCGGGUUGUAAACCGCUUUCGCCUGUGACGAAGCGUGAGUGACGGUAAUGGGUAAAGAAGCACCGGCUAACUACGUG